RNA transcript from Eriocheir sinensis (Chinese mitten crab), 1812 nucleotides. It is a transcript of the gene named zwei Ig domain protein zig-8-like, with no coding region annotated. NCBI's taxonomy places the organism in Eukaryota, Metazoa, Arthropoda, Malacostraca, Decapoda, Varunidae. The record is from RefSeq and is a predicted model, not a curated record. The transcript has 11 exons.
CUAGACGCGGUCGAGAGAGAAUUGCACAAAAACAACCAAAGAAAAAAGAACAACAACAACAAAAAAUAAUGAUUAAAGAAAGAAAGAAAGAAAGAAAGAAAGACAAAAUAAAAUAAUAAAGAAAAUAAGAAAAUAAAGAGAGAAAUUAAAGAAAAUAGAGCAAGAUGAUUUUUCUCACUUUUUUCGUCUAUCUUUAUCUUGAAGGCUCAGUAGCAGGAGUAGCAGCAACCAAAACUACCACUACAACCACUACUACUGCAAUCCCUGGUGGUGGUGGUGGGGGGGCAUACCCUGGUGGUGGCGGCGGACACUACAUUGGUGGCAGCGGUGGGAUACACAGCAUACAUGGGGGCAGCGGUUACUGGAUCGGAAAGCCUCAACCGUACUUCGCUGCCCUGCCAACCAACUUAACCAUCGUCUCAACCAACUCGGCCAUGCUCACCUGCCGUGUACACAUGCUGGGUGACCGUUCGGUAACUUGGAUGCGUCUUAAGGACCUUCACAUCCUAACCGUCGGGCAGGUGACAUAUACAGCAGACGACCGCUUCCAGGUGCACCACGAGGCCUCCACGGGGGACUGGACGCUACAGGUGAGGCGCGCCCAGGUGACGGACUCCGGGGCCUACGUCUGCCAGGUGAACGCCUCCCCCAAGAUUGUGCGGCGGGUGUACCUGACCGUGACGGACAAAGAAAUGCUGGAAAGUCUUUUGAAGCAACCAUCUCUACAUCCAGACACACAGACACACACACACAUACCAGGAAACACACAUAGAUAUAUACAGGAAGGCUCCUCUCUCUCCCUCUCCUGCUUGGUCAAACAUCCCCCCCUGGCUCCCCCCCCGACGAUCGCUUGGUACCGGGGGGCGACGCUCCUGCUCUAUUCCACCCCCGGGGCACGCCUAUCCCUGCAGGUGGAGAGGGAGAGAGAGAGGACCACAUCACACCUGUCCCUUCACGCCCUCGAAUCAGGUGACUCGGGCGUGUACACCUGCAUACCUGUGGGCGGGGCCGGUGCAUCCGUUCACGUACACGUCACACACGACGAGAGAAGUUCGGCAGUGCAGUGGGAGGGGGUCAGUGGGGGGGUGAGGAGGGGGGAGGGAGGGGGAGGGGCUUUCCUCCUCCCCCUUCUCCUCUUCCUCCUCCUCCUCUUCCUCCAGCCUCCUCCUCCUCCUCCUCUUCAUCUUCUCUCCAUCUUCUCCACUCCAAGUCGCUCCUAGCAUUUUAAAGUCUUCCCUUGGAGGUGGAAGAGGAAGGAGGUGGAAGAGGAAGAAGGAGGAAGAGGAGGAAGAAGGAAGGAAGAAGUGGAUUAGAUAAGAACGAUCAAGAGGAAGAAGAAGAAGAAGAGGAGGAAGAGGAAGAGGAGGAAGAGGGAAUAAAGGCCAGGCUGGCGUGGUGAUGGCCUGCGUGUGUUGCCUGGCAGGAGCCGCCCAGUGGACAACACACACCAGAGUGCUGAGGGAAGGCCAGCCACCAGUGAGGCUCAGCACUGAGAACCAGCAUCACCCCCACAGAAGGCCUGCCAUGGAUCUGGUGUUUGUGUGUUUGCAUGUUUAGUCACCCAGCCUCCCGGACAGACUGUGCUGGGGGACACGUGACCACUGCUCUGCCCUCCAGGAUAAGGAUUCCCCCAGACUGAGCCGCUGGUGGGGGGGGCACGUCAGCGCUGGCAUGUGGACGCAGCGGUCACCCACACGGCCUCAAGGCUCUGCAGCAGCCCUGGCCUAGACCCAAUGGGCAUCUCAUCACCCACGAGGCCACGGGUCUCUGUUUGCUGUGUACAGGCUCAUGUAAUAAAGAACAGGCACUCCA